RNAcentral lists this ribosomal RNA (698 nucleotides) under uncultured bacterium. RNAcentral's name for it is "bacterial SSU rRNA". It matches the Rfam family "Bacterial small subunit ribosomal RNA", at positions 28 to 772 of the family's 1533-position model. The record is from RNAcentral.
AACGAACGCUGGCGGCAUGCCUCAUACAUGCAAGUCGAACGAAGCCUUCGGGCUUAGUGGCGAACGGGUGCGUAACGCGUGGGAACCUGCCCUUAGGUUCGGAAUAACAGUUAGAAAUGACUGCUAAUGCCGGAUAAUGUCUUCGGACCAAAGAUUUAUCGCCUUUGGAUGGGCCCGCGUAGGAUUAGGUAGUUGGUGUGGUAAUGGCGCACCAAGCCGACGAUCCUUAGCUGGUCUGAGAGGAUGAUCAGCCACACUGGGACUGAGACACGGCCCAGACUCCUACGGGAGGCAGCAGUAGGGAAUAUUGGACAAUGGGCGAAAGCCUGAUCCAGCAAUGCCGCGUGAGUGAUGAAGGCCUUAGGGUUGUAAAGCUCUUUUACCAGGGAUGAUAAUGACAGUACCUGGAGAAUAAGCUCCGGCUAACUCCGUGCCAGCAGCCGCGGUAAUACGGAGGGAGCUAGCGUUGUUCGGAAUUACUGGGCGUAAAGCGCGCGUAGGCGGCUAUCCAAGUCAGGGGUGAAAUCCCGGGGCUCAACCCCGGAACUGCCCUUGAAACUAGAUGGCUAGAAUACUGGAGAGGUGAGUGGAAUUCCGAGUGUAGAGGUGAAAUUCGUAGAUAUUCGGAAGAACACCAGUGGCGAAGGCGACUCACUGGACAGUUAUUGACGCUGAGGUGCGAAAGCGUGGGGAGCAAA